This is a small nuclear RNA of Physeter macrocephalus (sperm whale), 104 nucleotides long. Lineage: Eukaryota; Metazoa; Chordata; Mammalia; Artiodactyla; Physeteridae. The record is from Ensembl.
GUGCUCGCUUUAGCAACACAUAUACUAAAAUUGGAAUGAUAAAAAGAUUAGCAUGGCCCCUGCACAAGGAAGACCCACAAAUUCGUGAAGUGGUCCAUAUUUUU